Non-coding RNA from Gossypium hirsutum (cotton), 107 nucleotides. The record is from Rfam. NCBI's taxonomy places the organism in Eukaryota, Viridiplantae, Streptophyta, Magnoliopsida, Malvales, Malvaceae.
AACCCAUGGUGAGGGCAUCUUUGUAAGAGGUCUUUGUAUCUCUCCCAUGAAUCGUGGAGUGUUUCUAAAUCCAUCUGCACAAAAGAAGAGAUAUUAUUACGUAAUUU